RNAcentral lists this ribosomal RNA (238 nucleotides) under uncultured bacterium. Its description in RNAcentral is "partial 16S ribosomal RNA". It matches the Rfam family "Bacterial small subunit ribosomal RNA", at positions 96 to 334 of the family's 1533-position model. The record is from RNAcentral.
CGGCGGACGGGUGGGUAACGCGUGGGUAACCUGCCUCAUACAGGGGGAUAACAGUUGGAAACGGCUGCUAAUACCGCAUAAGCGCACAGUACCGCAUGGUACGGUGUGAAAAACUCCGGUGGUAUGAGAUGGACCCGCGUCUGAUUAGGUAGUUGGUGGGGUAACGGCCCACCAAGCCGACGAUCAGUAGCCGACCUGAGAGGGUGACCGGCCACAUUGGGACUGAGACACGGCCCAA